UUCGUCGUGAGGCGGAAUCUGAAGGAAGCUGUAGGCAAACUCCUGGCCCGACGAACAGGAACCGCAUAUGAGGCAGCCACAUCUGGGCGAGAGGGCCAUGAAACUCGAAGGUAAGCGUUCAUUCCACGACGUAGUUGACCUACUUCACGUCACGCAGAGGCCUUAAUAAC
Molecule: unclassified non-coding RNA, 170 nt
Filed under: Vreelandella aquamarina
Lineage: Bacteria; Pseudomonadati; Pseudomonadota; Gammaproteobacteria; Oceanospirillales; Halomonadaceae
Source: RNAcentral